CAGUAGCCGCGGUAAUACAGAGGGUGCGAGCGUUAAUCGGAUUUACUGGGCGUAAAGCGUGCGUAGGCGGCUUUUUAAGUCGGAUGUGAAAUCCCUGAGCUUAACUUAGGAAUUGCAUUCGAUACUGGGAAGCUAGAGUAUGGGAGAGGAUGGUAGAAUUCCAGGUGUAGCGGUGAAAUGCGUAGAGAUCUGGAGGAAUACCGAUGGCGAAGGCAGCCAUCUGGCCUAAUACUGACGCUGAGGUACGAAAGCAUGGGGAGCAAACAGGAUUAGAUACCCUGUAGUCCCUGUCUCUUAUACA
RNAcentral lists this ribosomal RNA (301 nucleotides) under uncultured bacterium. RNAcentral describes it as "partial 16S ribosomal RNA". It matches the Rfam family "Bacterial small subunit ribosomal RNA", at positions 509 to 808 of the family's 1533-position model. The record is from RNAcentral.